This 1018-nucleotide ribosomal RNA is filed under the name uncultured bacterium. RNAcentral's name for it is "bacterial SSU rRNA". It matches the Rfam family "Bacterial small subunit ribosomal RNA", at positions 357 to 1376 of the family's 1533-position model. The record is from RNAcentral.
AGGAAUAUUGGUCAAUGGGCGCAAGCCUGAACCAGCCAAGUAGCGUGAGGGAAGACUGCCCUAUGGGUUGUAAACCUCUUUUGUGCGGGGAUAAAGUGUGGGACGUGUCCCAUAUUGCAGGUACCGCACGAAUAAGGACCGGCUAAUUCCGUGCCAGCAGCCGCGGUAAUACGGAAGGUCCGGGCGUUAUCCGGAUUUAUUGGGUUUAAAGGGAGCGCAGGCCGUCCUUUAAGCGUGCUGUGAAAUGCCGCGGCUCAACCGUGGCACUGCAGCGCGAACUGGAGGACUUGAGUACGCACGAGGUAGGCGGAAUUCGUGGUGUAGCGGUGAAAUGCUUAGAUAUCAUGAAGAACUCCGAUUGCGAAGGCAGCUUACCGGAGCGCAACUGACGCUGAGGCUCGAAAGCGCGGGUAUCGAACAGGAUUAGAUACCCUGGUAGUCCGCGCGGUAAACGAUGGAUGCCCGCCGUUGGGUUUUAGAAUUCAGCGGCCAAGCGAAAGCGUUAAGCAUCCCACCUGGGGAGUACGCCGGCAACGGUGAAACUCAAAGGAAUUGACGGGGGCCCGCACAAGCGGAGGAACAUGUGGUUUAAUUCGAUGAUACGCGAGGAACCUUACCCGGGCUUGAAUUGCAGGAGAACGAUCCAGAGAUGGUGAGGCCCUUCGGGGCUCCUGUGAAGGUGCUGCAUGGUUGUCGUCAGCUCGUGCCGUGAGGUGUCGGCUCAAGUGCCAUAACGAGCGCAACCCCUGUCCAUAGUUGCCAUCAGGUCGUGCUGGGCACUCUGUGGAGACUGCCGCCGUAAGGUGUGAGGAAGGUGGGGAUGACGUCAAAUCAGCACGGCCCUUACGUCCGGGGCUACACACGUGUUACAAUGGGGCAUACAGCGAGUUGGAUGUGCGCAAGUACGUCCGGAUCAAUAAAGUGCCUCUCAGUUCGGACUGGGGUCUGCAACCCGACCCCACGAAGCUGGAUUCGCUAGUAAUCGCGCAUCAGCCAUGGCGCGGUGAAUACGUUCCCG